Molecule: non-coding RNA, 21 nt
Filed under: Rattus norvegicus (Norway rat)
Lineage: Eukaryota; Metazoa; Chordata; Mammalia; Rodentia; Muridae
Source: RNAcentral
UAUGAACUUGACUUUGAUGCC